This 75-nucleotide transfer RNA is filed under the name Candidatus Bipolaricaulota bacterium. Its description in RNAcentral is "tRNA-Lys". It matches the Rfam family "tRNA". Rfam says of the family: Transfer RNA (tRNA) molecules are approximately 80 nucleotides in length. Their secondary structure includes four short double-helical elements and three loops (D, anti-codon, and T loops). Further hydrogen bonds mediate the characteristic L-shaped molecular structure. tRNAs have two regions of fundamental functional importance: the anti-codon, which is responsible for specific mRNA codon recognition, and the 3' end, to which the tRNAs corresponding amino acid is attached (by aminoacyl-tRNA synthetases). tRNAs cope with the degeneracy of the genetic code in two manners: having more than one tRNA (with a specific anti-codon) for a particular amino acid; and 'wobble' base-pairing, i.e. permitting non-standard base-pairing at the 3rd anti-codon position. Lineage: Bacteria; Candidatus Bipolaricaulota. The record is from RNAcentral.
GGGUCGUUAGCUCAGGGGCAGAGCAUCUGACUUUUAAUCAGAGGGUCGGAGGUUCGAAUCCUCCACGACCCACCA